Long non-coding RNA from Musa acuminata AAA Group (dessert banana), 1415 nucleotides. RefSeq lists it as uncharacterized. Lineage: Eukaryota; Viridiplantae; Streptophyta; Magnoliopsida; Zingiberales; Musaceae. The transcript has 2 exons. The record is from RefSeq and is a predicted model, not a curated record.
UCGUCCAUCGGGCAUCAUCUCGGCCUCCGCAUUGGUGCCGCAAGGUUUCCCUGAUCGAUGACGACCCUGACGCCGUCUACGGCAGCCGCAUCGGUCGCGCUCUUCGCCCUGUUGGUCCGUAAUGGGGAGCAGCAGCACGCUGCGAUACCGCAGGACUUCCCUACGCCGCCGCUCACCGCCAUCCGGAACCUCGUCGAUGCCUUCCUCCUGCCCUCUCCUCAUCCCGCGGCUUCGGGUCCCACCAAUUCGAGGUUCUUUCCCCUUUGUGGUUUCUUAAUGUGGACUGUUGGUUGCUUUUAUGGUGGUGUAUGUAGGAAACUGAUGAUGAGGUGAACGGUGUCGGCGCUGUCGGACUCGCUUAUAUUCUUUCCCGCGGUCAUCUACUGUGUUUGUUGGAUUACUUUCGGCGCAAUGUUGGUGGUAAUGGAGAGGAAGGUUCGGCGACGUGGUGCUUGCGUUGAUACUGCUUAAAACAGAGCAGGCAUAGAUUGUUAUGAGAAGAAGUCCAAUAACCAGAAGUGCACAACCAGCUGCUAUUCCAAUGAUCAAGCCAAUAGCUAUUGGCGAUUUUCCUUCAACGCCUAGAUAAUUUAUUGAGUCAGCAUAAGAAAUGAUCUUAAGUUGUAUUUGUACAUAAAGGAUGGAGAAGUCACCUGGGAAAGGAUAUUGGAAUGCUUUGAAAUAGUAAGGUCCGAAAAUUUCAGGUGGCUUGUAUAUUUGAUUGCUCAAUUUGAAUCCAAUCUGUAGAAUUUCAGACCUGUUGAAGUACAUUCCGCUGGAUGGGAAAAUUUGAACUUGUACCUGCAGGUAAGAGUCAUUGUUGAAAAAGGGGUUUUGAAGAAACACUGAUCCAGGAGGAAGGUCAAGUUUUUUCCACAGGCUGCUUUCCAAUGAUUGGAACAGUGUGCUGUUUGUCACAUCUCGGAAUAGAGGUGCUCUGAAAAACAUCACUCCCUCAUAUGGGUAGACGCAUUUGCAAUUUUGUGGGUUGAGACUCUGAUCUGGGGGACACAAGUUCGCUGCACAUUCGGCAAGACUGGUUGAAUAAGAAGGAAUUGCUGGCUCUUGUCGAAGACUGCAAAAUAUUGUCUUGGAGAGCCAAUGGCAUAGAGGAUUUCCUAUGAGACUGCAGUCAACAACGGAUUGAGGAAAUGUUGGAUAAACAGUUGCAUUCAAUGAAAUUGCAGUCUGAUUAAAAUGUCAAAUCUGCAUCCAGAAUUCUUACAUGAGAGUUCUAUCAUAACUGGCGUCAUGUGCAACUCCUGUAAGCUUAUUAUUUUUGAAAUUUACGAUUUGUAAUUGCUGGCUGAUGCUAUUGCCCAUGUCAAGGGUUCCGUUAAAUUCAUUGUUAUCAAGUAUCCUGAAAAAUGUUGACAACAAUAGUCAAAUUAGACCCAAGGAUUUCUUUGUUUUUA